GCGCAGCUGGCGGAGAGGCUGUCGCGCCGGCGGCCGCGCGCGCCGCUCAGAGUGGACCGAGUUCCAGACGAGCUCGGCGUGCAGUCCCGAGUUCUGUGCCCGGGCGAUGCCAUACCGUUUAUAGGUGUCGUGGGGAACCGACAACGCGAUGAUAACAGACGCUUCCUGAACCAGUUGCGGAGCCUGAGCCGGCAGCCGGUCGCCGACGUACCUGUUCAACCCAAUACGAGUACCAUUAUUACAGAAAAUACAGAAUUUUCAAGUAACGGACAGACAGAAGAAAGUUCACCGCACGA
Molecule: long non-coding RNA, 296 nt
Organism: Vanessa tameamea
Lineage: Eukaryota; Metazoa; Arthropoda; Insecta; Lepidoptera; Nymphalidae
Exons: 4
Source: RefSeq, a predicted model, not a curated record